Molecule: ribosomal RNA, 373 nt
Filed under: uncultured Glomeromycotina
Lineage: Eukaryota; Fungi; Glomeromycota
Description: LSU rRNA
Source: RNAcentral
UUGAAAGGGAAACGAUUGAAGUCAGUCGUACCUGUGGGUAAUCAGCCUUUUGGGUGUGAUUUUGUGGAGUGUGAGGAGUUAAACGCCUUCAUGCCUGCAUAUUCGUGCACUUUGGGUGUAUUUACCCGUGUGGUAAGUUAACAUCAAUUUCGGUGGUCAUAAAAUGGCUGGAGGAAUGUAGCUUCGAUCUUGCAUUGAAGUGUUAUAGCCUUCGGUAGAUGUGAUGAUCGGGAUUGAGGAUUGCAACGGAUACCCCUCGGGGCUACCUGUCUGAUCUCUGAUCGUUGCUCUGGUGCCGAAAGCUUGCUUACGGUUAUCAAAGUCGAUGGUUAAUAGGUUAGAACGGGUUAAAUUCGUUAAGGAUGUUGACGUA